Molecule: long non-coding RNA, 575 nt
Filed under: Prunus persica (peach)
Lineage: Eukaryota; Viridiplantae; Streptophyta; Magnoliopsida; Rosales; Rosaceae
Description: long non-coding RNA (PPER_LNC005536)
Source: RNAcentral
CAAAGUCACCAUCCCCAAAACCUAGCAAUUUACUUUCAUAUUCCCUCUCCUCCAUAACCACAAAGUCAGAGAACCAAAUGGCUGUUCUUCAAGACCAGAAACAGAGCUCCUCUUGCCCACCAACAUCCAAGGUCCACUCUUUCUUUCUCUCUCUAAGAUAUGUUUACGGUUUUACUGGCAAACUGAGUAUUUGACUCUUUUAUUCACAAAUAAUUUUCAGAGUAAUAGGGGAAGACCACCAAAGAACAAGGAUGUUUAGGAAGAAAUCUUCAUCUCUCACUCAGUCACUGAUGACUAAAGGCAUUGUGACUAAAAUCUGUUUAGGUGGUUUUUUUUAUUUAAAAUAUUUGAUUAGGGUUUUGUGUUUUGAUUAAUUGAUUAGGGUUGUGUUUUGAUUAGUUGAUUAGGAAUGAGAGUGCUAUUGCUUUAAUGUUUCAAUGUAAUUUCGUCUAAAAAAUAAUUUUCAAACGUUUACACAAUGAACCUAUGGCCUAAAAAUCCUGAAUCCGCCACUACUUGGACAUGUACCGCAGUGCAAUAUGAGUUGCACGCGUAUGUAAAAGCCUCACUCUCUC